This 1434-nucleotide ribosomal RNA is filed under the name Mycoplasmopsis gallinarum. RNAcentral's name for it is "Mycoplasma gallinarum 16S ribosomal RNA". It matches the Rfam family "Bacterial small subunit ribosomal RNA". Lineage: Bacteria; Bacillati; Mycoplasmatota; Mycoplasmoidales; Metamycoplasmataceae. The record is from RNAcentral.
GAUGAACGCUGGCUGUGUGCCUAAUACAUGCAUGUCGAGCGAAGUUCUUCGGAACUUAGCGGCAAAUGGGUGAGUAACACGUACUCAACGUACCUCUUAGAUUGGGAUAGCAGUUGGAAACAACUAUUAAUAACAAAUACGUAUAAUUUUCGCAUGAAGAUUAUAUAAAAGUAGCGUUUGCUACACUAAGAGAGCGGGGUGCGUAACAUUAGUUAGUUGGUGAGGUAAUGGCUCACCAAGACGAUGAUGUUUAGCGGGGUUGAGAGACUGGACCGCCACACUGGGACUGAGAUACGGCCCAGACUCCUACGGGAGGCAGCAGUAGGGAAUAUUCCACAAUGAACGAAAGUUUGAUGGAGCGACACAGCGUGCAGGAUGAAGGCCCUAUGGGUUGUAAACUGCUGUGGUAAGAGAAGAAAAAACCGAGGAGGAAAUGCCUUGGUCUUGACGGUAUCUUAUUAGAAAGCAACGGCUAACUAUGUGCCAGCAGCCGCGGUAAUACAUAGGUUGCAAGCGUUAUCCGGAAUUAUUGGGCGUAAAGCGUCUGUAGGYUGUUUGUUAAGUCUGAUGUUAAAUUUUGGGGCUCAACCCCAACACGCAUUGGAUACUGGCAUACUAGAGUUAUGUAGAGGUUAAUGGAAUUCCUUGUGAAGCGGUGGAAUGCGUAGAUAUAAGGAAGAACACCAAUAUGGCGAAGGCAGUUAACUGGGCAUACACUGACACUGAGAGACGAAAGCGUGGGGAGCAAACAGGAUUAGAUACCCUGGUAGUCCACGCCCUAAACGAUGAUCAUUAGCUGAUGGGGAACUCAUCGGCGCACGUAACGCAUUAAAUGAUCCGCCUGAGUAGUACGUUCGCAAGAAUAAAACUUAAAGGAAUUGACGGGGAUCCGCACAAGCGGUGGAGCAUGUGGUUUAAUUUGAAGAUACGCGUAGAACCUUACCCACUCUUGACAUCUUCUGCAAAGCUAUAGAGAUAUAGUGGAGGUUAACAGAAUGACAGAUGGUGCAUGGUUGUCGUCAGCUCGUGUCGUGAGAUGUUCGGUUAAGUCCUGCAACGAGCGCAACCCUUGUCCUUAGUUACUAACAUUAAGUUGAGCACUCUAAGGAGACUGCCCGAGUAAUUGGGAGGAAGGUGGGGACGACGUCAAAUCAUCAUGCCUCUUACGAGUGGGGCAACACACGUGCUACAAUGGUCGGUACAAAGAGAAGCAAACUGGUGACAGGGAGCAAACCUCAAAAAACCGAUCUCAGUUCGGAUUGUAGUCUGCAACUCGACUACAUGAAGUCGGAAUCGCUAGUAAUCGUAGAUCAGCUACGCUACGGUGAAUACGUUCUCGGGUCUUGUACACACCGCCCGUCAAACCAUGGGAGCUGGUAAUGCCCGAAGUCGGUUUAUAAACAAACUGCCUAAGGCAGGACUGGUGACUGGGGU